Molecule: long non-coding RNA, 2330 nt
Organism: Lactuca sativa (garden lettuce)
Lineage: Eukaryota; Viridiplantae; Streptophyta; Magnoliopsida; Asterales; Asteraceae
Source: RefSeq, a predicted model, not a curated record
UAAAACUACAAAGCCCGUAUUAAAACAAACCGUACAGGAUUCGUGUAAUUUAGUCAAGUUCAUAGAAACAAUAAGUUGGGUAAACCCGCUGUAGGGUUUAGGGUUUAGUGGAUAAAGUUUUGAAAACUAUAUAACGGUUAGGCCUAAUCUCUUAAAAAAACUCUGUUCACCUUCAAUCUCAGAUACUCUCCUUCACCUAUUUAUGUAGCGAUCGAUGACUGUUUGUGUAUGUUUGCUUGCCAGCAAAAUUCGUUGGAAAUUUUCAAGAACACCAUCCUGCUAUUGCCCUCAGUGAACGGAAGUGGAAUUAUUGUAAUGUCCAUCCCUACGCUUCUUCCACAAAAAAAAUUUAAAGCUCCUACGAUGUUUCGGCGGGACUAAAACCCUUGAGUUGGGCAAAGUAAUUCACGCUCGUUCGAUUGUGUGUAAUCAGUGGUCUGGAGAUAAUAUACCCAAGACUAAUGCUUUGAUUGCUCUUUACUCAGCAGUGGGAUAUGCACACUGUGUUUUUUGAUCAAACAAAUAAAUGUAACAUAGAUUCAUGGAGUGCUCUAAUUUUCAAAAUGGGUCUGCUUUUGAAGUUGUUAGAUUGUUUAAAUCAAUGGUUUCAGAGUCGUGCUCGGCUAACAAUUAUAUAUCUUCAUUGGUGCUUAUGUCGUGUAUAAAGGUUGGGUACUUUUUGUUAGGGUCAUGGAUACAUGUUGAAAUCUGGAUCAGUGUUCCAUCAUUAUGUGACUUGUAUUGCAUGAUGUGGGACAUGGUAGGGGCUGUGGAGGUUUUAGUUUCUGUCCCUCAAGUGGAUAACUGUGCUUAUAAUCGGAUCAAGGUUGGACCUGGAGAGAAAGCUUACUUGGAUGAGGCAUUAUUAUCUUAAAGAGAAUGUUGGCUGAAGAUAUGGUGUGGAACAAAGCUGCUCAAGAGUGAAGUUGAGGUUGAUGUGUCUGUAUGCAAUGCAGUGAUCAAUAUGUAUGGGAAAGCUGGAGAUGUUAGAAAUGCUUUAAAUGUAUUUGGCAGGUCUAAAGUUCCAAACGUGGUUUCAUGGACACUAAUUAUGGCUGCUUUCUCAAAAUGAGGGUUCCCUGAAGCGUAGAUUACAUUGUUUUAUAAUAUGCAAAUUGACGGGGUUGUUCCAAACAAAUCUACCUUUUCUGUAAUACUCAAUGCUAGUGCUGAAUUAUUCUCUGUGAGAUUAGGAAAUGUAUUGCAUACACUAGCAGAGAAGACUGGAUUCAAGGGUCAUAAGAAUGUCGAGGAUGCCUUGAUCAUCAUGUACUUGAGGACUGGCCACUUUAAAGCUGCUGAAAAUGUGUUUUUAGGUAUGACUUAUCGUGAUAUUGGAACCUGGAAUAUAAUGAUAUGUGGGUACUGCCUUCAUGGUUUUGGUAGAAGUCGUUGACUUUGUUUAAUGAAAUGUUGAAAUUAGGGGAAGAUCCUAAUGAUGAUACUUUUGUUGGUGUUCUCAAUGCGUGUGGAGAUUUGAGGCUUGUGGAAGAAGGGUUAUACUAUUUUUAUGAGUUAAUGAACCAGAAGGGUCUCUAACCUGGUUUAGAGCACUAUAGGUGUAUCAUUAAUAUUCUAAUCAAGGGUGGAAGACUAGAAGAAGCUUUUGAUUUCAUGGUAUCAACACCACUCAAAUGGGAUGACAAGACUUGGAGUACCUUUCUCAGAGGAUGUCAUGCUCAUGGAGAGUAUCUUCUAUAUGUCCAAGCUGCAAAGUGGAUCCCUGAUGAUGUGCUGGUUAGUGAGUACGGUGUAUCCACGGACAUCCGUGAACCGAUAGAAAUGGAGAAUGAUUGAUCAGUAGAACCCUCAAGAAUAAAACAUAUACGGUUAAUUCGGUUGUCAAGGGAGAUCCAUGGUUUGUUGAGGGCCAUAAAAUCAUCAAGUCUUUGUUUGCUAGUAUUAAAGCAUAUGCUUACAUACCUGAUACUAGUGAUGUACUACAUGAUGAGGUUGAUCAUAUGAGGGGGAGGAGGAGGAGGACCAACUUGAAGGUAAAUCCAGAAUGAAAAAUACGCAUUAAUUUGAUUCCGAAAAUAAAUGGUUGCCUAAAAUGGAUAAAAUUUGAAAAGUUGGUUGCUAUUACAAGCAAUUUGCCCAAACAUAUAAUAAGAUUUCAUAGAGAGACUUGACAAGCAAAUACAAACCAUAUCAUUUUUACAACUGGAAAUGAAGCAUCAAUAUCACAAAAAUUUAAGCUGAUGCAGGUCAGGGGGUAUCAAAACCAAAUCACAUGUUCUUAGACAAAAACACCAAACCAAUCAAACCCCAUUCCUACCCCAAAGAAACCCAAAAAUAAAAAAGAACUUUUUUCCACCAAAAAAAAAAAA